RNAcentral lists this ribosomal RNA (253 nucleotides) under uncultured bacterium. Its description in RNAcentral is "partial 16S ribosomal RNA". It matches the Rfam family "Bacterial small subunit ribosomal RNA", at positions 524 to 776 of the family's 1533-position model. The record is from RNAcentral. RNAcentral also lists the same sequence under 1 other name.
UACGAAGGGGGCUAGCGUUGUUCGGAUUUACUGGGCGUAAAGCGCACGUAGGCGGGCUAAUAAGUCAGGGGUGAAAUCCCGGGGCUCAACCCCGGAACUGCCUUUGAUACUGUUAGUCUUGAGUAUGGAAGAGGUGAGUGGAAUUCCGAGUGUAGAGGUGAAAUUCGUAGAUAUUCGGAGGAACACCAGUGGCGAAGGCGGCUCACUGGUCCAUUACUGACGCUGAGGUGCGAAAGCGUGGGGAGCAAACAGG